UACGGGGGGGGCAAGCGUUGUUCGGAAUUACUGGGCGUAAAGGGCUCGUAGGUGGCCAACUAAGUCGGACGUGAAAUCCCUCGGCUUAACCGGGGAACUGCGUCUGAUACUGGAUGGCUUGAGUUCGGGAGAGGGAUGCGGAAUUCCAGGUGUAGCGGUGAAAUGCGUAGAUAUCGUGAGGAACACCAGAGGCGAAGGCGGUUACCUGGACAGUUACUGACGCUCAGGCACGAAAGCAUGGGGAGCAAAAGGG
RNAcentral lists this ribosomal RNA (253 nucleotides) under uncultured bacterium. RNAcentral's name for it is "partial 16S ribosomal RNA". It matches the Rfam family "Bacterial small subunit ribosomal RNA", at positions 524 to 776 of the family's 1533-position model. The record is from RNAcentral.